UUACCCACUCCCGGCACGGGGAGGUAGUGACGAAAAAUAACGAUACGGGACUCAUCCGAGGCCCCGUAAUCGGAAUGAGUAUACUCUAAAUCCUUAUACGAGUAUCAAUUGGAGGGCAAGUCUGGUGCCAGCAGCCGCGGUAAUUCCAGCUCCAAUAGCGUAUAUUAAAGUUGUUGCGGUUAAAAAGCUCGUAGUUGGAUCUGUGUCCCGCACCGUCGGUUCACCGCCUGUCGGUGUUCAACUGGUGUGUAUGCGGGACGUCCUGCCGGUGGCGGUCCGGUUCCCCGUGGGUACGUAGGGGCGUCCUUGCGCACGCUUGCGUCGUCCCCGAAGGCCUGCGCGGUGUAUCCGGCCGCCUUUUCAAUCCCGUCGCGGUGCUCUUCACUGAGUGUCGAGGCGGGUUUACUUUGAACAAAUUAGAGUGCUUUAAGCAGGCCCUGUCCCCCUGUAUGUUGUGUGCAUGGAAUAAUGGAAUAGGACCUCGGUUCUAUUUUGUUGGUUUUCGGAAUCUGAGGUAAUGAUCAAUGGGGACAGGCGGGGGCAUUCGUAUUGCGACGUUAGAGGUGAAAUUCUUGGAUCGUCGCAAGACGGACCGAAGCGAAAGCAUUUGCCAAGUAUGUUCUCGUCGAUCAAGAACGAAAGUUAGAGGUUCGAAGGCGAUCAGAUACCGCCCUAGUUCUAACCAUAAACUAUGCCUGCCAGCGAUCCGCCGAAGUUCCUCCGAUGACUCGGCGGGCAGCUUCCGGGAAACCAGAGCUUUUGGGUUCCGGGGGAAGUAUGGUUGCAAAGCUGAAACUUAAAGGAAUUGACGGAAGGGCACCACCAGGAGUGGAGCCUGCGGCUUAAUUUGACUCAACACGGGAAAACUCACCAGGCCCGGACACCGGAAGGAUUGACAGAUUGAGAGCUCUUUCUUGAUUCGGUGGGUGGUGGUGCAUGGCCGUUCUUAGUUGGUGGAGCGAUUUGUCUGGUUAAUUCCGAUAACGAACGAGACUCUAGCCUACUAACUAGGCGUACCCGGUAUCCACAAUCGUGCUACCGGCGGUCAAAUUUCUUCUUAGAGGGACAGGCGGCUUCUAGCCGCAAGAGACUGAGCAAUAACAGGUCUGUGAUGCCCUUAGAUGUCCUGGGCCGCACGCGCGCUACACUGAAGGAAUCAGCGUGUCUUCCCUGUCCGAAAGGACCGGGUAACCCGCUGAACCUCCUUUGUGCUAGGGAUUGGGGCUUGCAAUUGUUCCCCAUGAACGAGGAAUUCCCAGUAAGCGCGAGUCAUAAGCUCGCGUUGAUUACGUCCCUGCCCUUUGUACACACCGCCC
RNAcentral lists this ribosomal RNA (1316 nucleotides) under Pyrops candelaria (lantern bug). RNAcentral describes it as "SSU rRNA". It matches the Rfam family "Eukaryotic small subunit ribosomal RNA", at positions 441 to 1674 of the family's 1831-position model. Lineage: Eukaryota; Metazoa; Arthropoda; Insecta; Hemiptera; Fulgoridae. The record is from RNAcentral. RNAcentral also lists the same sequence under 4 other names.